Molecule: unclassified non-coding RNA, 1317 nt
Filed under: Hevea brasiliensis (rubber tree)
Lineage: Eukaryota; Viridiplantae; Streptophyta; Magnoliopsida; Malpighiales; Euphorbiaceae
Source: RNAcentral
UGAGCUGAAUUCAUUUCCUUAAAAUACAAAGAACAAUAAAUUGAGAUGCAUUUUCAAUGCUUUAAUACAUAUAUGCACACACAAAUCAGUGUUGUGAGAAAUUCUUGCAUUCUGACCUGCAUAGAUCUAUAGUCCUAGCUAGUCCUUCAUUUGUUGAAGCAUAUGCACCACUCUAUCCAUGGAAGGCCGAUCUUUGGGACUUUGUGAAAGGCAACUCUCAGCAAUUCUAAUCAUUUCUCUCAUACUUUCCUUUACUUCUCCCAUUUUGGGGUCGCAUAUACCUAUCAGCCCUUCUCUCUUUCUCUUUUCUAUGACGUAUUCUCCCAAGUUGGUCACAGUCGGUCUCUUUGCAGUAACAAGCUCCAAUAACAAAAUUCCGAAGCUGUAAACAUCCGACUUACGCGUAAACCUUUUUGGAUAAUUUUGAUUGGAUAUUAGUUCGGGUGCAACUCUGCCAGAAUUUCUUCUUAUGAUGGUUGUUGGAGGUACGAGGUAAGGUGUUUCAUAGCCGGAAAGGCAAGCAGAACAGUCUGUCCGAAUUAAGAUAUUGCUUGCCUUAACCACCCCACAGACAAGGUUGCUGCCUUUUUUUGUAACUUGAUUGUGAAUGAAGUCUAUUGCCAUUGCUGCACAUAGUGCUAUGUGCUUUCGAACUUCCCAACUCAAUGGGGUGUAUCGGAUUCCUUCACUUCCAUGUAAAAGCUCCUCCAAACUUCCCAAGCACAAAUACUCAUACACAACAAAGGCUUCUCCACCGCACCAGAAACUCAAGUGCAUUGGCAAGAGCCAGGUGUUGCGAAUUCCUCCAAAGAAAUUAAUCCAUAGCUCAAUAUCAUCUGGCUUGACCAAUCCUUGUCGGAUCACUCGAGCUGUGACGAUGAAGCCACAAUUAAGAAUAAGCUUGAACAAAGUCCCCAUGGUACCUUCACCAAGCAUAACUUUUGGAAGUUGAGCUAGCUCUGAUCCAUCACAGUACUUUUUUGCAAACCCAUCUUGUUCAAAUAUCAACUUAGCAGGCAGUGUCACUUUCACCUCCGGCACCGACCCUGGAGUUAUGUUGGUUACUUUUCCAUCACUGAAUUUCGUCCUCCAUUUCACUGCUCUGGUAAAAAUGAGUUCAAUUGCUGCGUAGAUGAUGCCAAAAAUAGAAAAUAAGCCCCGUGGAAGACAAGCUGCCUUGUUCAUGUCUGGCUUAGUCUUGGAGAGAAUUUCUGUUCUGUUCUGUUCUUAGCAAACACAACAUUAUUGACAAAGGUAUUUUUCUUUUCCCAUUUACAACGUUGCAACUGUACGUUGGUUUUUCCACCAGAAAUCUUG